GAGUUUGAUCCUGGCUCAGGAUGAACGCUGGCGGCGUGCUUAACACAUGCAAGUCGAACGAACCUUCGGGUUAGUGGCGGACGGGUGAGUAACGCGUGGGAAUCUGCCCUCAGGAGGGGGAUAACGGCUGGAAACGGCCGCUAAUACCCCAUAUGCCGAGAGGUGAAAUGAAUUUCGCCUGAGGAUGAGCCCGCGUCUGAUUAGCUAGUUGGUGAGGUAAGAGCUCACCAAGGCAUCGAUCAGUAGCUGGUCUGAGAGGAUGAUCAGCCACACUGGGACUGAGACACGGCCCAGACUCCUACGGGAGGCAGCAGUGGGGAAUUUUCCGCAAUGGGCGAAAGCCUGACGGAGCAACGCCGCGUGAGGGAUGAAGGCCUCUGGGCUGUAAACCUCUUUUCUCAAGGAAGAAGAUCUGACGGUACUUGAGGAAUAAGCCACGGCUAAUUCCGUGCCAGCAGCCGCGGUAAUACGGGAGUGGCAAGCGUUAUCCGGAAUUAUUGGGCGUAAAGCGUCCGCAGGCGGCCCUUCAAGUCUGCUGUUAAAAAGUGGGGCUUAACUCCAUCAUGGCAGUGGAAACUGUUGGGCUUGAGUGUGGUAGGGGCAGAGGGAAUUCCCGGUGUAGCGGUGAAAUGCGUAGAUAUCGGGAAGAACACCAGUGGCGAAGGCGCUCUGCUGGGCCAUAACUGACGCUCAUGGACGAAAGCCAGGGGAGCGAAAGGGAUUAGAUACCCCUGUAGUCCUGGCCGUAAACGAUGAACACUAGGUGUCGGGGGAAUCGACCCCCUCGGUGUCGUAGCCAACGCGUUAAGUGUUCCGCCUGGGGAGUACGCACGCAAGUGUGAAACUCAAAGGAAUUGACGGGGGCCCGCACAAGCGGUGGAGUAUGUGGUUUAAUUCGAUGCAACGCGAAGAACCUUACCAGGGUUUGACAUCCUGCGAACCUCUUGGAAACGAGAGGGUGCCUUCGGGAACGCAGUGACAGGUGGUGCAUGGCUGUCGUCAGCUCGUGUCGUGAGAUGUUGGGUUAAGUCCCGCAACGAGCGCAACCCACGUCUUUAGUUGCCAGCAUUUAGUUGGGCACUCUAGAGAGACCGCCGGUGAUAAACCGGAGGAAGGUGUGGAUGACGUCAAGUCAUCAUGCCCCUUACAUCCUGGGCUACACACGUACUACAAUGCUACGGACAAAGAGCAGCAAGUUCGCGAGGACAAGCAAAUCUCAUAAACCGUGGCUCAGUUCAGAUCGUAGGCUGCAACUCGCCUACGUGAAGGAGGAAUCGCUAGUAAUCGCAGGUCAGCAUACUGCGGUGAAUACGUUCCCGGGCCUUGUACACACCGCCCGUCACACCAUGGAAGUUGGCCACGCCCGAAGCCGUUACUCCAACCCUCGGGAGGAGGACGUCGAAGGUGGGGCUGAUGACUGGGGUGAAGUCGUAACAAGGUAACCGUA
This 1447-nucleotide ribosomal RNA is filed under the name uncultured bacterium. Its description in RNAcentral is "bacterial SSU rRNA". It matches the Rfam family "Bacterial small subunit ribosomal RNA". The record is from RNAcentral.